Molecule: ribosomal RNA, 492 nt
Filed under: uncultured bacterium
Lineage: Bacteria
Description: partial 16S ribosomal RNA
Rfam family: Bacterial small subunit ribosomal RNA
Source: RNAcentral
AGUGAACGCUGGCGGUAGGCCUAACACAUGCAAGUCGAACGGCAGCACAGUAAGAGCUUGCUCUUACGGGUGGCGAGUGGCGGACGGGUGAGGAAUACAUCGGAAUCUACUUUUUCGUGGGGGAUAACGUAGGGAAACUUACGCUAAUACCGCAUACGACCUACGGGUGAAAGCAGGGGAUCUUCGGACCUUGCGCGAUUGAAUGAGCCGAUGUCGGAUUAGCUAGUUGGCGGGUCAAAGGCCCACCAAGGCGACGAUCCGUAGCUGGUCUGAGCGGAUGAUUACCUACACUGGAAUUGAGACACAGCCCCGACUUCAGAUAGUGGCACAAGCUCGGAUUAUAGGACAACAGGCGCAUGCCUACUCCAGCCAAACCGCGUCUGUUAAGAAGGCCUUCGGGUUGUAAACCCCUUUUGUUGAGAAAGAAAAGCAGCCGGUUAAUACCCCGCUGUUUUGACGGUACCCAAAAAAUAAGCACCGGCUAACUUCGUG